GGGGUUUACAGGUCCUCUGAAGGACACGUCUUACAUCUGCCUGGCCAGUGGGCCAGAGGAGGAGAGAGAAUCUCAUGUGUUCUACGUCUUCAGCAUUGUGGUCCCUGAAGUGAUGGAGGUGGAGAUUACAGCCUCACGUGUUGUGUUGCGUCAGGGUGAAGCGUUGACAGUCAACUGCACUGUGCAAGCUGCUGAGAUGGUCUACUUCAACUGGGACAUCCCCCGCAAACAGGAAUUUGAGCCGCUGACAGAAUUCCUGCCCAGUCAAAUUCGAUCCAUCAUCACCAUUCCCAUGGCAACGCUGGCAGACUCCGGUGUGUAUGUGUGUGAAGUCCAGG
Molecule: long non-coding RNA, 338 nt
Organism: Lampris incognitus (smalleye Pacific opah)
Lineage: Eukaryota; Metazoa; Chordata; Actinopteri; Lampriformes; Lampridae
Exons: 4
Source: RefSeq, a predicted model, not a curated record